This 329-nucleotide ribosomal RNA is filed under the name Sinopla humeralis. Its description in RNAcentral is "partial 12S rRNA". The record is from RNAcentral. RNAcentral also lists the same sequence under 1 other name. Lineage: Eukaryota; Metazoa; Arthropoda; Insecta; Hemiptera; Acanthosomatidae.
UUUCAUUGGUAUUGUUAGUUAUGAUCUUUAAAUUAAAAGAAUUUGACGGUAAUUUAUCAUUUCAGAGGAACCUGUCCUUUAAUCGAUAUUCCACGUUAAAUUUUACCUUGAUUUUUGGCUUAUAUACCUCUGUUAUUAGAGUGUUUUAUUAGAAAUUUAUUCUCUUUUAUUUUUUUAAAAUAUAUAUCAGGUCAAGGUUUAGUUAUAUUAAGGUUGAGAUGGGUUACAUUUAUUUAAAUAUUGGUUUUUAUUAUUUAUUUAAUAAAAUUAAAUUGGAUUUGAUUGUAAUUUAUAUUAUAUACUAUUUAUGAUAUUUGUUCUAGAUUAAG